RNA transcript from Papaver somniferum (opium poppy), 2610 nucleotides. RefSeq lists it as uncharacterized. NCBI's taxonomy places the organism in Eukaryota, Viridiplantae, Streptophyta, Magnoliopsida, Ranunculales, Papaveraceae. The transcript is spliced from 10 exons. The record is from RefSeq and is a predicted model, not a curated record.
CUUCUCAUUUCAUUUCUUCUUUCUCUUUGUCUCUUCUCUGUACCCCAGAAGAAAGUAAACCUCACCCUUAAAUCAAUUUCAUUCAUACAGAAACCUAACUUCACCUCUUACCCGAAAGAUACUGAAAUCUUAAAAACUCAAUCGCAAAAUCCCAAAAUCAAUUUAUCUGAAAAACCGGAAUCUCGCCGGAGAAUUGAAGUUCGAGAGUUCAAUUGAAACCCUAAGAGUUGUAUAAAUUCACCUUUAACCCAGAAGGCUCAGCUUCAGCAUCAGAAUGGUGAAGAACAAUUUGAUGUGGGUUACCAAGGAAACCAAGACCAAAAAAUCCGUUCCAACUCCCAAGAGGAAGAUUAGCAAGGAAACCAAAAUUGUCCAGUCUAUCUCGUUACCAAAGAAUAAGUUGCAGAUCAUUUUGAAAAAAAAGUAGAGUUCGCAGCCUUCAAAGUCUGAAAUCAAAUAAAACAUUUAUAACAAGAAGUAGAUUUCAGAGCAACCUGCAAUCCAAUAAUAUCCAAGUCAUUCACCAAUUGAACGUGAAAAGACACCAAGAAGGACAUCACCUAGGUUUAAUAACAGGUCAUAGGAACGAGAUCAUACUGCUAAAAAGAGUACUCCAACACGAUCAUCACCUAGGAAAAGGAAAGUUUUAGUAGAACCGGAAAGCGCCACACAAUCUAAACCAGUCCAAUCCACAUCAGGAGCAUCUCAAAUUGCACGCUCCAAGUAAGUUAUUGAGAAGGGAAGGAAAGUGAAGUGGAAAUUGUACCAAUCAGGCCCAUAUCCGAAUGUCCAAAGAAGGAAUCCAAAUGAUACCUUUUCUGAUAUGGUUGAAGAAGAAGAAGAAUAUGAAGAUGAAGAGGAAGCAGAACCAUAAAAUACUGUUGCUACUGAAGAAAGGGAAGGUGAAGACAAUGAAAUGGAGAAUGAUAAAGAGAACGACAUCGCAGCAAAUGAAAAUGAAAAAGGAGAUGAGGUUGUACAAGGAGAAGAUAAGAGAAAGUGUGUUCCUCGUGGCCCAACACGGAUGGAUUCACUAGGGCUAACAGAGGGAAAAACAAAAACUCCAGACAAGGCCACUGUUAUCUGUAACAAUAAAGAUCAUCCCAUUGGUGACCCUUCUGUGCAACUUGCAAGUGUGUUGGGAGUUUUAGUUAGGCGAAACAUUCCAUUAACUUUCAAGGACUGGAUAGUGGUCCCUAAAGAAGCCAAAGCUAAUGUACGGAAGAUUGUCCAGAUGAGGUUCAUUGUUGAUGAUUUUUACAGAGAUUACUAUUAUGGGAAGAUGGGUUGUUAACUUGUUAUCUUAAGGAGGCUAGGUAUGGGAAAUCAGGUAAGAUACUAGCCUUUGAUGAGUUAGAAGAAGAAGAAAGAGAAAAGAGGAUAAAAUCACUUAAACCACAUAACAUGUCAGACAAUGAGUGGGAGGAGUUCGUUCAAACUAUUGGCUCGGAGGAAUUUAGAGCAAAAAGAUUCAAAAUACAGGAAAUUUGGCAGAAGCAUACCACCCCACACACGAUCAGUAGGGAAGGUUAUGCUCGUCUGGAGGCGAAAAUGUAAAAGGGGAGGAACACAACUGAAGAGACUGACAUAGUUGAAUAAUGGAUAACUGGUCAAAGCAAAAGGAAGGAAAGGAAGCAAAUCCAGGGGUUGUUGAGGCUUUUUUGAGGACCCAAGCGACUCAUUCUUUUUUUUUUAUGUGUUUGAAUGAUUGAAUUCAUAAAUGUGACUAAUUCUGUUUAAUACUAAUACAAGAGAAUAUAAGAGCUGAAGCAAAUGGUGGUGCUGAUGUUGGUGGAUCAUCUGUGAUAGAUGAUCUUCUUGUCAAUGCUCUUGGUGAUGACAAACCAGGUCGACUCAAAGGAAUAAGUUUUGGAGCGACAAAGACAAAGAUGGUUGUCAAGUCCCAUUAUAAGAAGACCAUUAACUAGUGUCGGGAAAGUAUGAAGGAAUUGAAUGGGAGAUUUAUGAUGUUAGAGGAAAGGAGCUCGAGAUGUGUCUGCUGCCAUGAUUGAUCACUGUUGCAAAAGGCCAGUCCAAAUUCUGGAAAUGCCAGUAACAACCAUGCUAGCGCCAUCAUUGUCCGUGAAAAUGACAUUCCAUUGAGCAGAACAAAUAUGGUGCCACAGCCAGUGGGAGUGCCACAGAAGAAUAGAGCUUGCAGGUUACUCAGUUGGUACAAUUAGGGCGAGAUUGUGGCUGAUGCAGUUAUUGCUGAAACAAAUCGAAAGAAGUUAAUCCAUGGAAUGCCAAUAGGUUUUGGAGCUUAUAGGGUAUCUGUGAAAGUUUCUCGUGUGGAUGAUGCUCUUCUCUACAUGCAAACCAAUGAGUUGAAGUGUAUCCAUGAUAAUAUGAUAUGAUAUGAACUUAAAUCUCAUGGUCCAAGGAUCUGAGAUUGCUUGACUAGCCAUCUGGCUUCUUAAUCUUCUUUGGGAGUGUUUCAGGAAACUUUCUUCUUUGUUUGCUCCUUUUUUUUAUCACUGGAUAUUUUGAAUGAUCGAAUGGUUUAGUGUUUGAAUGAUCUAAAACUGGUUAGGUGUUUGAGGGGUUGAAGUGUUUGAAUGAAUGCUGGUACAUUAUUUUAAUGGUGGAAUGGUUUAGUAUUUUAAUGAU